GAAAUUAUAGCCCAGUGGUAGAGUGCAUGGUUAUCAUGCAUGAGGUCCUGGGCUCAAUCCUCAGUACCUCCA
RNAcentral lists this transfer RNA (72 nucleotides) under Camelus bactrianus (Bactrian camel). It matches the Rfam family "tRNA". From Rfam's summary of the family: Transfer RNA (tRNA) molecules are approximately 80 nucleotides in length. Their secondary structure includes four short double-helical elements and three loops (D, anti-codon, and T loops). Further hydrogen bonds mediate the characteristic L-shaped molecular structure. tRNAs have two regions of fundamental functional importance: the anti-codon, which is responsible for specific mRNA codon recognition, and the 3' end, to which the tRNAs corresponding amino acid is attached (by aminoacyl-tRNA synthetases). tRNAs cope with the degeneracy of the genetic code in two manners: having more than one tRNA (with a specific anti-codon) for a particular amino acid; and 'wobble' base-pairing, i.e. permitting non-standard base-pairing at the 3rd anti-codon position. Lineage: Eukaryota; Metazoa; Chordata; Mammalia; Artiodactyla; Camelidae. RNAcentral also lists the same sequence under 2 other names. The record is from Rfam by way of RNAcentral.